Long non-coding RNA from Melanotaenia boesemani (Boeseman's rainbowfish), 197 nucleotides. RefSeq lists it as uncharacterized. The record is from RefSeq and is a predicted model, not a curated record. The transcript has 3 exons. NCBI's taxonomy places the organism in Eukaryota, Metazoa, Chordata, Actinopteri, Atheriniformes, Melanotaeniidae.
AUUGCAGCCAUAUCGUCGGGGGAAAGGACGAGUAUUACCCGGUGAAGCAAGUUUUAAAGACAAAAAUCCAGAAGGGGAAACAAAUAGAGCUGGUGGAGUGGGAACCAUGUUCCAUGUGUGGGAAGACGUGGCCUCCACAGUGGGUGGCAAAGGAGAAUACAAAGAACUAAAACAGCUACCUUCAGUAUUCUGUGGGC